RNAcentral lists this small RNA (128 nucleotides) under Marmota monax (woodchuck). The record is from RNAcentral. Lineage: Eukaryota; Metazoa; Chordata; Mammalia; Rodentia; Sciuridae.
GCCGGGUGUGGUGGUGCACACCUGUAAACCCAGCAACUUAGGAGGCUGAGGCAGGAGGUUUGCAAGUUCAAGGCCAGCCUCAGCAACUUAGCAAGGCCCUGAGCAACUUAGUGAGAUCCCUGUCUCAA